This is an RNA transcript of Xenopus laevis (African clawed frog), 4709 nucleotides long. It is a transcript of the gene named MAX dimerization protein 3 L homeolog, with no coding region annotated. The transcript has 8 exons. NCBI's taxonomy places the organism in Eukaryota, Metazoa, Chordata, Amphibia, Anura, Pipidae. The record is from RefSeq and is marked provisional.
UCCAAUUGGAAAGCUCCAAUAGGAAGCUCCGCCCGUUUCAGGAAGCUCCAUGGAAACUGAGGUCUCUGGGAAGCAGCUGAAAACGUCCCGAUCUCAUUGUGUCCGCGACGUCCUGAAGUAGCGGCAGGGACAAGCUAAGGACUGAGAAUCGGGGCUCCAGUAAUAAGGGCAACGUUGGGAUCAUUGGAAGCUGCGAGAUUGUGAGGCACAGCACAGGAAAAAGAGAAAUCCCAAGCAAGAGACUGCCUACGGAGCUGUGCUGAUAUCCAGAAUCAAUUGAGAGGCUCUUGCAUUCUCCCUGCCAACAUGGAACAGCUCCCCAGCAAUCUGCAGGUUCUUCUGCAAGCUGCUGAGUACGUGGAGCGAAGGGAAAGAGAAGCAGAGCAUGGUUAUGCCUCCAUCUUGCCUUGUGAUCCUGCCACCCCUGGGAGGCGAAAACGUCAGAGAACAAACAGCAACCCAGAUAAUGUCAGAUCUGUUCACAAUGAGCUAGAGAAACACAGGCGAGCUCAACUUCGAAGAUGCUUAGAGCAGCUUAAACAACAAGUGCCUUUGAGCAUGGAAAACUCAAGGCAUACAACGCUCAGUCUACUACACAGGGCCAAGCAACACAUCAAAAAACUGGAAGACCAGGAGCUAAGGGCAAAAAGUUUGAAGGAAAAACUGAGGGCUGAUCAGCAGAAGCUCCGCCAGAGACUAAAACGGCUUUUACCUCCUAACACUGAGCGGAUUCGAACUGACAGCUUAGAUUCGUCAAAUUUAUCCUCGGAGAGGUCUGAUUCAGAUCAAGAGGAUUUGGAGGUAGAUGUGGAGGGAAUAAUUCUGAGCGGCAAUGAGGGUGAACUCUUUGUUUCAUUUAGUGCUGGGCUGGAACACAGCUACUCUACUCCAGCUCAUGCCUGGCUAUGACCUCUGAUUACCAGCACAGCACAUGAAACAUCAGCAGACUUACUAUAUUGGCAGCUCCCCAAAUCAACUUACCUUGCAGAUCGGAAAACACUUGCUGAUGUGGCACACGCAGGAUAACUAAAAUCAUUUGUUUUGGCUCACCUCCAUAUAAAGAUGUGCUGUUACAGUCUUGAAAACAUUUGAAGGUGCUUUGGACAAACUAUUGCUGGAACAGGACAUAAAAUAUCAUAAAGAAAGGAAAGAAAGUAAUGAAAGAAGUAGAGGUAUGGUGCGCUUUGAUAUCAAUGACAUAAAAAACAGAAUACACAUGUCAGAAAAAAUUUGGAUUUGCUGCCCAGAGGUAAGUAACCCAAUGCCCUGUUAGGUUGCUGAUCGUCGUUUCACACAACAGCUGUUUAGGAGUCUAUAUCAUUUAUGGGAUGCGUAUCUAGCCAUGGGGCCCAAACCUUGUCAAACUUCCCCGGACAACCCCGAGAAUCAUACGUUCGCUUAAUGGAGGGGAGGACUUUAUUUACCAAGUUAAUCCAGUGCUCCACGUUGAGCGUUGAAUUCCCCAUCCAGCUCAUUGCUAUUAUUUUCUUAGCGUAAUAUAAAAGGACCCUUGCUUAGGACCUAUUCUUGUUUAAAGGAAGGAGAUCGUCCACGAGGCCAAGGAGACAAAUUUGUGGAUUGCAUGUGUUAGGGAAAGCUAAGUUAUCCACCAUGUACUUAACCACCUCCCUCCAAUAUGCUUGUAUAAUUGGGUAUUCCCAUAUUAAGUGAAAGAAGGAGGCAUUCUAUCUUGGCAUCUAGCUUCUGUUUGGCCCCCAUCUUUUUCAAUUUCAGUGGGGUGAUAUACAAUUGGUGGUUGAUUUUAAAUUGAAUCAUCCUAUCCUUUAUAGUGAUUGAGGGGCAGAUUUACAUAGGGUCGAAUAUCGAGGGUUAAUUAACCCUCGAUCUUCGACUGUCGAAUGUAAAUCCUUCGACUUCGAAUAUCGUGUGGGGUCGAGUUAGUUGUGGGUCUAGCCUCGUAGUCUUCUAGUUUCCUGUAGGGGAGGUUCUUAAGGGCUUCCCAUGACUCUAGUCUAAGGGCCAGGAGAGUCAUGCCAGUAUCCGUUUCGUUGAUGUGUAGCCAGCUAUGCACAUGGUGUAUCUGACUCGCCAAAAAGUAAAUAUAGAAAUGAGGAAGAGCAAGGCCUCCUUUGGCAAUCGUGGUAGUUAACAGGGUCCAAGAGAACCGAGGAGAUUUAUUAGCCCACAAGAAAGGAAUGAGGAUGGAAUUGAUUUUCCGAAAGGUUACUUUGGGAAUCCAUAUUGGAGAGUUAUGGAGUUUAUACAAAAAUUUUGGCAGGAAGAUCAUCUUGAAUAAAUUGACUCUUCCCCACAGGGUAAGAGGGAGGCCAGACCAUGUUGUUUUUGCGGUUCUAAAAUGACAAGGGGCGUGAUGUUUUCCUCUAUAUAUAAGGAAAGUUCGGGUGAUAUUGUAAUACCAAGAUACUUGAGUUUUGUGACCCAUUUGGUUUCUUGUGUGCUCACUGGCUGAUUUGGUACUGGGUCUAUCGGGAGUAUUACUGAUUUCUCUUUAUUAAUUGUAAGACCAGAGUAUUUUGCAAAGUUUUGAAGUACAUCCAGUGCUACAGACUGUGAUUCUUGGUGAUCUGCUGGAAAGAGGAGCAGGUCGUCUGCGUAAAGUGCCAGCUUGUCCUCCAGGGAGCCCAGCUUAAAGCCCUGUAUGUUUGCAGUUUGUCUAAUGUGAAGAGCCACAGGUUCGAUUGCAAUAGCAAAUAGGAGUGGGGAUAAGGGGCAUCCCUGUCUGGUCCCCCGUGAGAGAGGAAAGCGAUCCUCCAAUUUUUAUCUGAGCUGUGGGUUUCUGAUACAGCAGAUGGAUCCAGCUAGUGAAUCGCGGGCCAAAACCAAAGGGCCUUGGUGUUUCCUAAAGGUAGGGCCAUUUCGACUGAGUCGAACGCUUUAGUUGCGUUCAAAGCCACCAUUAUCCUAGAGCCAUUAUCAUGAGGGGUUUGUAGGUGGGUGUAGACCCUUCUAAGAUUUGUUGCAGUGGAUUUGCCGGGCAUAAAUCCAGAUUGGUUAGGGUGAAUUACUGAGGUUAUUACUUUCAUGAGUCUUGUUGCUAAUAAUUUAGCAAAUAUUUUUGCGUCUGUAUUAGUCAAGGAGACUGGCCUAUAUGAGUCGCACUGUUCUGGGUUCUUGGCUUUUCUAUAUAUCAGAACUAUAAUCGCUUUGUGAAAGGAUGAAGCAAGAGAGCCAGUCUCAAUGGCAUUAACAUAGGUAUAAGGGUAAGCCCACAUGAGGAGAUUCGGGAAGAUUUUGUCGCCUGGCGACUAAUCGCCUCGUCUUUUGCGUGACUAUCUCCCCGAACUGCCUCUGCGUUUUUCCCCAUAGGCUAGAAUGAUAAGUCGCCUGCGCUAAUGCACACGCGGCGAUGCGUUUUCAAUAGUUGCCCAAAGUUGCCUCACUGAAUCUCCCCGAAUCUCCUCGUGUGACCUUACCCUUAAGUAGAUGUUGAGUGAGAUUUUUGACAUGCAAUGCAUACCAGGCUGCUGGGAAACCAUCUGUCCCUGGUGUUUUACCUUUUGUUAGAGAUGCAACUGCCUCAAUCACUUCCUCUUCUGUAAUGGGGCUGUCGAGAUAAGCGAUUUCAUCUGCUGUUAAGUGUGGAAACUCAAUGUUGUUCAUGUAGUGGUUCAACUGCUCAGUGUUAUAUGCAACCUUGGACUUGUACAGUGUUUCAUAGAAAGAGGCAAAGCUAUCUAAGAUAGUCUGAGGGUUAGUAACCAGGUUCUCUUCAGUGUCCAUGAUUAGAGUUUGGGUGUCCCUACUUUUUGCUAAAUGGGCUGGCUAGAAGACUCCCAGCUUUGGCGCCCUGGUCAAACACACGUUGAUUAGAGUAUAACAGCCUUUUCCUAGUCAAUUUAGUUAGCGCUAGUUCAAAGUCUCUUUGUGCUUGUGCUAGAAUAGUCUGAUUUCUCUCUGACUGGGCGGAUUUGUAUCUGCUUUCUGCCUCCUAAAGAGCUUGCUGUGAUUCCUCCACUUCAAUGGCAUUUUGUCUUCGGACAGUCUUUUUUAGAAAGGGUCAGUGGCUCCCAUUUGAAAGCUAGAAAGUCAGAAAAAAAAAAAAGACCAACUGAAGAGUUGCUUAGAAUUUGCCAUUCUAUAGCAAACUUAAAGGUGAACCACCCCUUUAAUGGCCUUGUGCAUUACAGCACCCUGUACCUAAAUACAUGUAGGUCUGAUUUAUCAGCCUUAUGGCCAUCAGAUAGUGUGCAGUAGUGAUGUGCGGGCCGGCCCAAUACCCGCAGGUCGGACAUGUUUGGGCCGACCUUGCUGCUCCUCUUGUGGGUCGUGGUUGAGCUCUUGUGCCUGCUGUCCCCGCCCGCGACCUUAGAAUGCCAGCUUCCUGUUUUAUAGGCUUGCUUCUGCCCCGCCCAACUUGUAUUAACCUCUUAUCAUUGCCCCAAGCAGUAUUGGUGCUUAACAUUGAAGUACUGGGGUUUGGGGUACAUUUCUGACUAGGGCACCGUCUCUGUGGUGGAGGGUUGUGGGUUUUCCCCAUAUUUGAGUGACUUGGAUCUGGGGUCUCUGAUUUUCUUUAACAGCCCAGACUACAUUCUUAGGUUAAAGCUAAAACAGACCCUAUUGUGAAUAAUAAAACAGGGAGAGAUGAACAUUAUAAAACUAUCUACUAGUUAAUAUACUAAGGACUGUGAUAGAUGUCAGUGCUAUAUAAAACAAGGCUGUUAAUUUUAAAAAAAAAACUCAGUCAAAGAGCAUAAAACGUAAAGGAAAACUUUACCCCCAAAACA